RNAcentral lists this long non-coding RNA (1110 nucleotides) under Olea europaea (common olive). Its description in RNAcentral is "long non-coding RNA (OEUR_LNC000861)". The record is from RNAcentral. Lineage: Eukaryota; Viridiplantae; Streptophyta; Magnoliopsida; Lamiales; Oleaceae.
AAAAUAUUACAAUUAAUCAACGAAGUGAAAUUCCUCACCCAGAAUUCAUCAUGUUGGAACCAAACAUUCAUCACUUCCAGUUAACUUCACGUGUGUAGUGUGCAUCACCAGAUUCCACCAAAAUAUUCCCUCCAGUUCAGCAUGCAGAUUCUAGAGACUUCUUCUUCCAUACGUAUUGCCUCCUUAGUUAGUUAGUUAGUUUUGCUCUAUAAAUAGAGCACUUGUAUGCAUUGUUAACUCAUUGGAGUAUAGUCUUCCAAUCCUUCCUUAUGGAGGUUUCAUUUUCUCCUAUUAUGGAGUUUCCAUUCCUCCUUUUAUGGAGAGUUUAAUGUUCUCCUUCCAUGGAGUUUUCUUCCUCCUUCAUGGAGUUGAUUGUGCCUCCUUUCAUGGAGUGUAUUUGUUCUCCAUUAAUGGAGUUUAAUCAAUUGUUUCAGAUUCAAUAAAUUGUAACAAGAAUUACCGAAGCCUCUAUUUCAGCCCAUUUCACCUUAGGAAGUCGACCGCAAGAAAGGAAUCAUUUCAUCUAAUAACUCUUGUAGGAAAAUUGAGAUCAGAUGAAUAAAUAAAACAGCAAAAGGCUUGAAAAUCGACAUUGAGAAAUUAUCUAUGAAAUGGAAAAUAAUUUGGAACUGUCCAUGCAUAUGAACUGUCCCAAUCUGUUCGUCCAUAUUGAAUCGAAAUUGCUGAUGACCCAUACAUGCAAAAGCUUCAUCGUGAUGAGGCCGCGACUAUAGUUUGCAUCCCUGGAGCCGGAAUUUGGGUUUGAACAGCCCGCUUUCGCUGUAGACGAAAUUUGCCGUGGAUUUGAAUUAAUUAAAAUAGAGAAAUCGAGAAAUGCCAACAUUAUGAACAGGGGCCGACCCAGCCGUUUUGAGUUGUGGGGUUAAAAAUUAGAGUUGUGCUACAAUGUUCACAUGAAUGAUCGCGGGAUUGAUACAAUACACACACAUGGGGUUGGGAUUAUUUUAUUUAUGGGGACCUUGCCGGGUACGUGAGGGUGCAAUCACUUGUGAGGUCAUCCUCGCGGGUUGUGCUUAGAACCAAAAAUUAAUGUGUAAUUUUUUAAAACAAUAUAAUAUUUAUAAAAAUAAGUUAAUACGCAUUUUGACA